UGAAACAAGUGAUAACCUAAAGGGUAAAAAGGGGUUUUUACUUAGGCUGAAAAUCAGAUAUUUUGGGAAGAAUGUACAGUUGUCCUAGUUGUUUAAACAAUAUGGUGAAAAUGGGGAAGUUGUACCAAGGGUUGUUAAAAAGGAUUGUACUAUUAUACUUCAGGAUAAGGAGUAUGCUAAAAGAUGCUCUCCCUUUGGACAAUCUAUAUAUAGCCUCUAUUUCUCUGAAAAAGACUGGUUCUCAUGCACAUUUUCAUCAGUAGUUUUUUCUGAAAAGGUUCCAUUUCUUCUAUGAAAAACUUCAUACUCAAAAUAGUUUUGAAAAUAUUGAAAAUCUCUUAUUUCUUCCAAACUUGAAACAUGGUUUGAACUAGAAACACUCUUAGCCCUUUAGCUAGAUCUGUUGGAUUUCAAGAUGGGCUUAGUCUUCUGUUUUUGAGCCUUUGGUUCAUUUUUUGGUUUUUGUUGUUGCUGUCUUGCUUGGUUUACUGCUGAAGUUUGGGGUCUCUAGCUAUCUUUUGGCUCUCUUGACCUUUAUUUGGUUAUUUUCAGUCAUAUUUUUAGUUUUCAGGUAUAUACAAUGUCCAUCUUGAAUUGAAUCAAUUUUGUGUUUGAAAAACUGCAUUUGGAACUUGUUUGUUUAGUUUAUCUUUGGUAUUUGGUCUGGGAAUCAUUAUUGUUUUGGAUUUGGAGUUAAUUGGACCAUGUUUUAGUAUUAGAUAAUUGCUUAGUUUAAACCAUGAAAUCUGUGAAGUUGCACUAUAUUCAUAUGUCAAAACUCACAUCUUUGGAUUACUAAAUCAGUAUGUGUAUGCAUCUGUGAAACCUAUAUCCAAAGCGUUCCUCCUAUGGCAGCACAUAAGGGAAGUGAAUCUAACCCUUCAAAUGGUCAGAUUCAUCCUUUAAUAUUGCAUAAUAAUCUGGAUUUUUCAGUACAUGUUCAU
RNAcentral lists this long non-coding RNA (944 nucleotides) under Nicotiana benthamiana. RNAcentral's name for it is "long non-coding RNA (NBEN_LNC036495)". The record is from RNAcentral. Lineage: Eukaryota; Viridiplantae; Streptophyta; Magnoliopsida; Solanales; Solanaceae.